GCCGCGGUAGUAUAGUCCGGUCAAGCAUGUCGUGGCAUGCACCGAGAGUAUGCGGGCCUCUCGAGCCCAUGACCCGGGUUCAAAUCCCGGCCGCGGCACCA
This 101-nucleotide transfer RNA is filed under the name Sulfuracidifex tepidarius. RNAcentral's name for it is "tRNA-Glu". It matches the Rfam family "tRNA". Rfam says of the family: Transfer RNA (tRNA) molecules are approximately 80 nucleotides in length. Lineage: Archaea; Thermoproteati; Thermoproteota; Thermoprotei; Sulfolobales; Sulfolobaceae. The record is from RNAcentral.